GACGAACGCUGGCGGCGUGCUUAACACAUGCAAGUCGAACGGAAAGGCCCUGCUUUUGUGGGGUGCUCGAGUGGCGAACGGGUGAGUAACACGUGAGUAACCUGCCCUUGACUUUGGGAUAACUUCAGGAAACUGGGGCUAAUACCGGAUAGGAGCUCCAGCUGCAUGGUGGGGGUUGGAAAGUUUCGGCGGUUGGGGAUGGACUCGCGGCUUAUCAGCUUGUUGGUGGGGUAGUGGCUUACCAAGGCUUUGACGGGUAGCCGGCCUGAGAGGGUGACCGGCCACAUUGGGACUGAGAUACGGCCCAGACUCCUACGGGAGGCAGCAGUGGGGAAUAUUGCACAAUGGGCGGAAGCCUGAUGCAGCAACGCCGCGUGCGGGAUGACGGCCUUCGGGUUGUAAACCGCUUUCGCCUGUGACGAAGCGUGAGUGACGGUAAUGGGUAAAGAAGCACCGGCUAACUACGUGCCAGCAGCCGCGGUGAUACGUAGGGUGCGAGCGUUGUCCGGAUUUAUUGGGCGUAAAGGGCUCGUAGGUGGUUGAUCGCGUCGGAAGUGUAAUCUUGGGGCUUAACCCUGAGCGUGCUUUCGAUACGGGUUGACUUGAGGAAGGUAGGGGAGAAUGGAAUUCCUGGUGGAGCGGUGGAAUGCGCAGACAUCAGGAGGAACACCAGUGGCGAAGGCGGUUCUCUGGGCCUUUCCUGACGCUGAGGAGCGAAAGCGUGGGGAGCGAACAGGCUUAGAUACCCUGGUAGUCCACGCUGUAAACGGUGGGUACUAGGUGUGGGGUCCAUUCCACGGGUUCCGUGCCGUAGCUAACGCUUUAAGUACCCCGCCUGGGGAGUACGGCCGCAAGGCUAAAACUCAAAGGAAUUGACGGGGCCCCGCACAAGCGGCGGAGCAUGCGGAUUAAUUCGAUGCAACGCGUAGAGCCUUACCUGGGUUUGACAUGGAUCGGGAGCGCUCAGAGAUGGGUGUGCCUCUUUUGGGGUCGGUUCACAGGUGGUGCAUGGCUGUCGUCAGCUCGUGUCGUGAGAUGUUGGGUUAAGUCCCGCAACGAGCGCAACCCUUGUUCACUGUUGCCAGCACGUUAUGGUGGGGACUCAGUGGAGACCGCCGGGGUCAGCUCGGAGGAAGGUGGGGAUGACGUCAAGUCAUCAUGCCCCUUAUGUCCAGGGCUUCACGCAUGCUACAAUGGCUGGUACAGAGAGUGGCGAGCCUGUGAGGGUGAGCGAAUCUCGGAAAGCCGGUCUCAGUUCGGAUUGGGGUCUGCAACUCGACCUCAUGAAGUCGGAGUCGCUAGUAAUCGCAGAUCAGCAACGCCGCGGUGAAUACGUUCCCGGGGCU
Molecule: ribosomal RNA, 1346 nt
Filed under: uncultured bacterium
Lineage: Bacteria
Description: bacterial SSU rRNA
Rfam family: Bacterial small subunit ribosomal RNA
Source: RNAcentral